This 486-nucleotide ribosomal RNA is filed under the name uncultured bacterium. RNAcentral describes it as "partial 16S ribosomal RNA". It matches the Rfam family "Bacterial small subunit ribosomal RNA", at positions 30 to 507 of the family's 1533-position model. The record is from RNAcentral.
AUUGAACGCUGGCGGCAUGCCUUACACAUGCAAGUCGAACGGCAGCACGGGUGCUUGCACCUGGUGGCGAGUGGCGAACGGGUGAGUAAUACAUCGGAACAUGUCCUGUAGUGGGGGAUAGCCCGGCGAAAGCCGGAUUAAUACCGCAUACGAUCUACGGAUGAAAGCGGGGGACCUUCGGGCCUCGCGCUAUAGGGUUGGCCGAUAGCUGAUUAGCUAGUUGGUGGGGUAAAGGCCUACCAAGGCGACGAUCAGUAGCUGGUCUGAGAGGACGACCAGCCACACGGGGACUGAGACACGGCCCAGACUCCUACGGGAGGCAGCAGUGGGGAAUUUUGGACAAUGGGCGAAAGCCUGAUCCAGCAAUGCCGCGUGUGUGAAGAAGGCCUUCGGGUUGUAAAGCACUUUUGUCCGGAAAGAAAUCCUUGGCUCUAAUACAGUCGGGGGAUGACGGUACCGGAAGAAUAAGCACCGGCUAACUACGUG